UCCCUGGUGGUUCAAACGAUAAAGCAUCUGCCUGCAAUGCAGGAGACCCAGGUUCCAUCCCUGGGUUGGGAC
This 72-nucleotide transfer RNA is filed under the name Bos taurus (domestic cattle). It matches the Rfam family "tRNA". Rfam says of the family: Transfer RNA (tRNA) molecules are approximately 80 nucleotides in length. Their secondary structure includes four short double-helical elements and three loops (D, anti-codon, and T loops). Further hydrogen bonds mediate the characteristic L-shaped molecular structure. tRNAs have two regions of fundamental functional importance: the anti-codon, which is responsible for specific mRNA codon recognition, and the 3' end, to which the tRNAs corresponding amino acid is attached (by aminoacyl-tRNA synthetases). tRNAs cope with the degeneracy of the genetic code in two manners: having more than one tRNA (with a specific anti-codon) for a particular amino acid; and 'wobble' base-pairing, i.e. permitting non-standard base-pairing at the 3rd anti-codon position. Lineage: Eukaryota; Metazoa; Chordata; Mammalia; Artiodactyla; Bovidae. RNAcentral also lists the same sequence under 5 other names. The record is from Rfam by way of RNAcentral.